Molecule: small nucleolar RNA, 113 nt
Filed under: Tetrapisispora phaffii CBS 4417
Lineage: Eukaryota; Fungi; Ascomycota; Saccharomycetes; Saccharomycetales; Saccharomycetaceae
Description: Small nucleolar RNA snR60/Z15/Z230/Z193/J17
Rfam family: Small nucleolar RNA snR60/Z15/Z230/Z193/J17
About the family: The members of this family belong to the C/D class of snoRNAs which contain the C (UGAUGA) and D (CUGA) box motifs. Most of the members of the box C/D family function in directing site-specific 2'-O-methylation of substrate RNAs.
Source: Rfam by way of RNAcentral
UUAACAAGAUGAUAAAAAGGAAGUUGUGCAUAGUUCAACUGAUAUCUACUAGUACAUGAAGAUAAAAAAUUUUCCAUCAGAAAUUAGUCUUUCGCUCCUAUCUGACUUUUCUA